This 301-nucleotide ribosomal RNA is filed under the name uncultured bacterium. Its description in RNAcentral is "partial 16S ribosomal RNA". It matches the Rfam family "Bacterial small subunit ribosomal RNA", at positions 509 to 807 of the family's 1533-position model. The record is from RNAcentral.
CAGCAGCCGCGGGAAUACGGAGGGCGCGAGCGUUACCCGGAUUUACUGGGCGUAAAGGGCGUGUAGGCGGCCUGGGGCGUCCCAUGUGAAAGGCCACGGCUCAACCGUGGAGGAGCGUGGGAUACGCUCAGGCUAGAGGGUGGGAGAGGGUGGUGGAAUUCCCGGAGUAGCGGUGAAAUGCGCAGAUACCGGGAGGAACGCCGAUGGCGAAGGCAGCCACCUGGUCCACUUCUGACGCUGAGGCGCGAAAGCUAGGGGAGCAAAUGGGAUUAGAUACCCCUGUAGUCCCUGUCUCUUAUAC